GAUGAACGCUAGCGGCAGGCCUAAUACAUGCAAGUCGAACGAGAUUAAGAGGCUUGCUUCUUAUGAAAGUGGCGCACGGGUGCGUAACGCGUAUGCAACCUACCUUAAUCAGGGGGAUAGCCCGAAGAAAUUCGGAUUAAGACCGCAUAAAAACACAGGAUAGCAUUAUCCAAUGUUCAAAUAUUUAUAGGAUUAAGAUGGGCAUGCGUGUCAUUAGCUAGUUGGCGGGGUAACGGCCCACCAAGGCGACGAUGACUAGGGGAUCUGAGAGGAUGACCCCCCACACUGGUACUGAGACACGGACCAGACUCCUACGGGAGGCAGCAGUAAGGAAUAUUGGUCAAUGGAGGGAACUCUGAACCAGCCAUGCCGCGUGCAGGAAGACAGCCCUCUGGGUCGUAAACUGCUUUUAUUCGGGAAUAAACCUUUCUACGUGUAGGAAGCUGAAUGUACCAAAGGAAUAAGAAUCGGCUAACUCCGUG
Molecule: ribosomal RNA, 482 nt
Filed under: uncultured bacterium
Lineage: Bacteria
Description: partial 16S ribosomal RNA
Rfam family: Bacterial small subunit ribosomal RNA
Source: RNAcentral